RNAcentral lists this ribosomal RNA (2928 nucleotides) under Methanobacteriota archaeon. RNAcentral's name for it is "Euryarchaeota archaeon (hot springs metagenome) 23S ribosomal RNA". It matches the Rfam family "Archaeal large subunit ribosomal RNA". Lineage: Archaea; Methanobacteriati; Methanobacteriota. The record is from RNAcentral.
CUACUUACGCCAUCUGGUGGAUGGUUUGGCUCGGGAGCCGAUGAAGGACGUGCCAAGCGGCGAAACGCUUCGGGUAGGCGCAUGGAGCCUUAGAUCCGAAGAUCUCCGAAUGGGACUUCCUGGUACCUUCGGGUACCAUUCCCUUUAGGGAAGGGGAACCUGGGGAAUCGAAACAUCCUAGUACCCAGAGGAAGAGAAAUCAAUAGAGAUUCCCUGAGUAACGGCGAGUGAAAAGGGAAGAGGGCAAACCGAAUCCCUUGCCGAAAGGCACGGGAAAUGUGGAGUUUAGGACUCAUCCCAAUAUCUCACGGGGGAAGUGGAAUUGGCCUGGAACGGCCAGCCAUAGAAGGUGAAAGCCCUGUACACGUAACCCCGUAGGUUACGAGGAUGAUGUUCCAGAGUAUCGUGCGUCGGAUAUCGCGCGAGAAGAUGGGUCCCAUCAAGAUCCAACCCUAAAUACUCCCCGAGUCCGAUAGCAGACUAGUACCGUGAGGGAAAACUGAAAAGUGCCCCGAAAGGGGGGUGAAAAGAACCUGAAACCAGAUGGUUAUAACCCGAUAGGGCAUGAAAGAAAUGAAGAAUUCGUAACUGAAUUUAGAUCAGUGUCCUAUCGUCCGUGUUGAAGAACGGGCCAGGGAGUUCGAACCAUCGGCGAGGUUAAUCUCUUUAAGAGAGUAGCCGUAGCGAAAGCAAAAAGCUCGCAGCCCUUUGGGUGAGGAGCUGGGUGCGUUCGCCCGGAGUCGAUGGCGAGACACCCGAAGCCGGUCGAUCUAGACCUGGGCAGGUCGAAGCCCAACGAAAGUUGGGUGGAGGACCGACCCGGUGCUGAUGUGCAACUCGUUCGGUUGACCUGGGUCUAGGGGUGAAAGGCCAAUCUAGGCCGGCAAUAGCGGGUUCCCCCCGAGACUACCCGCAGGUAGACCUCUGCAGAGGAGGCAUAUGGGGUAGAGCCACCGAUGGAGGAGUUUAGAGCCGGAAGGCUCGGCUUCUCUUUCGAACUCCGAACCCAUAUGCUCCGUAGAAGCAGGGAGCUAGGGUUGUCGGGAUAAGCUUGACACCCGAGAAGGCAACAACCUAGACAGGGGUUAAGGUCCCAAAAUGCAGGCUAAGUGUCAUGUAAAGGGCGUCCGGAACCUAAAACAGCGGGGAGGUUGGCUUAGAAGCAGCCAUCCUUUAAAGAGUGCGUAACAGCUCACCCGCCGAGGUUUCGGGCCCCGAAGAUGGACGGGGCUAAGCCUGCUACCGAGACCUCUGGACACCCGAAAGGGUGAUUCGGUAGGGGGGCGUGCUGCUGGGGCAGAAGUCUCUCCGAGAGGAGGGAUGGACCCAACAGUAACGCGGAUCCUGGCGUAAGUAGCAGCAAAGUGCCGUUGAAAUCGGCAUCGCCGAAGGGGCUAAGGGUUCCUUGGCAAUGUUCGUCAGCCAAGGGUAAGCCGGUCCUAAGCACGAUCCUAACAGGAACCGUGCGAAAGGGAAGCUGGUUAAUAUUCCAGCGCCAGGGGUGUUUCGCCCAAAGGAUGACACCUCAGGAUAGGCGGAGGAUCCAUGCCUAGAUCUUCUUCAUUUCGAACUCUGGGGAGUACCGUAAUGGUGAGAACCAGGGGAAGGAAUGGAGAGCCCACCUAGGGUGGGUUCCGCUGAGUCCAGGGGUCCAUGAAAAGUCCUUUGGGGUCAGGCCCCUGUCCGUACCAAGAACCGACACAGGUGCCCCUGGGUGAGAAGCCCAAGGCGAGUGGGAACAAUCGACCCGAGGGAACUCGGCAAAAUGGCCCUGUACCUUCGGAAGAAGGGGUGCCUACUCCGGGAAAGAGUAGGUCGCAGUGGCUAGGGGACUCCGACUGUUUAACAAAAACACAGGUGGCCGCCAGACCGUAAGGUUGAGUAUGGCCGCUGAAGCCUGCCCAGUGCCGGUACCUGAAAGCCCCGUACAAGGGGAAGAAGGGCCGGUAAACGGCGGGGGUAACUAUGACCCUCUUAAGGUAGCGUAAUACCUAGCCGCUUAAUUGGCGGCUUGCAUGAAGGCCCAACGAGGGUCCCACUGUCCCCGGGUUGAGUCCCGUGAAAUCGAUGUAAUGGUGCACAAUCCAAUCUCUCCCAUCUGAAAGCGAAGUCCCUGUGGAGCUUUACUGCAGCCUGUUGUUGCGAUAUGACUCCGGAUGUGUAGGGUAGGCGGGAGCCUACGAAGCCCGGGCGCCAGCUCGGGUGGAGGCGCCGAUGAAACACCGCCCUUCCGGGGUUAUAUUGCUCACUCCUUCGGGAGGACAGCGAUAGGUGGGCAGUUUGGGUGGGGCGCCACGCCCUUGAUAAGGAAACAAGGGCCUCCAAAGGUAGGCUCAGGAGGGUCAGAAAUCCUCCGUUGAGUAUAAGGGCAAAAGCCUGCUUGACGCGGUUGCGAACAAUAAUCAACCGCGAUACGAAAGUAGGGCCUAACGAACCACCCUGUCCUCAUUGGUGGGGGCGGGUGAUAAGAGAGAAGUUACCCCAGGGAUAACUGAGUCGUCUCCGGCAAGAGUUCAUAUCGACCCGGAGGUUUGCUACUUCGAUGUCGUCUCUUCCUAUCCUGGCGGUGUAGCAGCUGCCAAGGGUGGGGCUGUUCGCCCAUUAAAAGGGAUCGUGAGAUGGGUUCACUACGUCGCGAGACAGUAGGGGUGCUUUUCGAUGGGAGUGCCCGGGUGCCUGCGGGGUAGGAUCCCUUAGUACGAGAGGAACGGGGAUUCGUGGCCACUAGUCUACCGGUUGUCUGGCAAGGCAGUUGCCGGGCAGCCACGCCAUAACUGAUAAGUGCUGAAAGCAUCUAAGCACGAAGCAGUCCCCAAAAAGAGGCACCCAUUGAGACCUCUCCUAAAAGAGGAGUUUGAUAGGACCGGGGUGUAAGCGCCAAGCCCUCGGGCGAGGCGUUCAGCCCGCGGUUACUAACGGUCGACCUUG